CCUACGGGAGGCAGCAGUGAGGAAUAUUGGUCAAUGGACGAGAGUCUGAACCAGCCACGUAGCGUGAAGGAUGACUGCCCUAUGGGUUGUAAACUUCUUUUAUAUGGGAAUAAAUUGUUCCACGUGUGGGAUUUUGUAUGUACCAUAUGAAUAAGGAUCGGCUAACUCCGUGCCAGCAGCCGCGGUAAUACGGAGGAUCCGAGCGUUAUCCGGAUUGAUUGGGUUUAAAGGGAGCGUAGGUGGAUUGUUAAGUCAGUUGUGAAAGUUUGCGGCUCAACCGUAAAAUUGCAGUUGAAACUGGCAGUCUUGAGUACAGUAGAGGUGGGUGGAAUUCGUGGUGUAGCGGUGAAAUGCUUAGAUAUCACGAAGAACACCGAUGGCGAAGGCAGCUCACUGGACUGCAACUGACACUGAGGCUCGAAAGUGUGGGUAUCAAACAGGAUUAGAUACCCUUGUAGUC
RNAcentral lists this ribosomal RNA (460 nucleotides) under uncultured bacterium. RNAcentral describes it as "partial 16S ribosomal RNA". It matches the Rfam family "Bacterial small subunit ribosomal RNA", at positions 338 to 795 of the family's 1533-position model. The record is from RNAcentral.